ACUUUCAUUUUUAUGAUGAUGCCAAAAAAUGGGUCGACUCUUGGAUAGCCUCAAAAGACAUGUCGUUUUUCCGACGUGGAAUUCAAAUGCUGCCAGAAAGAUGGGAAAAAGUAGUGGCUAGCGAUGGACAAUACUUUCAAUAAAACAUUAAGUAC
This is a long non-coding RNA of Mycetomoellerius zeteki, 155 nucleotides long. RefSeq lists it as uncharacterized. The transcript has 3 exons. The record is from RefSeq and is a predicted model, not a curated record. Lineage: Eukaryota; Metazoa; Arthropoda; Insecta; Hymenoptera; Formicidae.